RNAcentral lists this ribosomal RNA (492 nucleotides) under uncultured bacterium. RNAcentral describes it as "partial 16S ribosomal RNA". It matches the Rfam family "Bacterial small subunit ribosomal RNA", at positions 29 to 507 of the family's 1533-position model. The record is from RNAcentral.
AGUGAACGCUGGCGGUAGGCCUAACACAUGCAAGUCGAACGGCAGCACAGCAAGAGCUUGCUCUUACGGGUGGCGAGUGGCGGACGGGUGAGGAAUACAUCGGAAUCUACUUUUUCGUGGGGGAUAACGUAGGGAAACUUACGCUAAUACCGCAUACGACCUUCGGGUGAAAGCAGGGGAUCUUCGGACCUUGCGCGAUUGAAUGAGCCGAUGUCGGAUUAGCUAGUUGGCGGGGUAAAGGCCCACCAAGGCGACGAUCCGUAGCUGGUCUGAGAGGAUGAUCAGCCACACUGGAACUGAGACACGGUCCAGACUCCUACGGGAGGCAGCAGUGGGGAAUAUUGGACAAUGGGCGCAAGCCUGAUCCAGCCAUACCGCGUGGGUGAAGAAGGCCUUCGGGUUGUAAAGCCCUUUUGUUGGGAAAGAAAAGCAGCAGGUUAAUACCCCGCUGUUCUGACGGUACCCAAAGAAUAAGCACCGGCUAACUUCGUG